Molecule: unclassified non-coding RNA, 989 nt
Filed under: Hevea brasiliensis (rubber tree)
Lineage: Eukaryota; Viridiplantae; Streptophyta; Magnoliopsida; Malpighiales; Euphorbiaceae
Source: RNAcentral
GGAAUGUUCUACAAAAAUCAGUAGAAACUGUAUAAUACAUUCAUACUAAAAGAUCUCCCUUGCGAAUAAAACGUUGGUCACAUGCACCCGGAAUUUAAUCAGAGAAAAGGUACAGAAAGCCUAGAAAAAAGUUAUAAAUACUAUGCUCCAUUCUCUGUUGAGAUGUUUUUCUGAGCUAAUAUCUUUUCUAUUAUCAUCUUGAGUGCAGGGGCACUUGCCUGGCAUUUAUCAUCCGAAAAGCAUGAUCUUCCUUCUUCGGCUGCUUUACAUAGCUGAGGAUCCAGUGGUACUUUUCCAAGAAACGAGAUACCCAUAUCGUUGCACAUCUUUGCAGCACCUCCACCACUGGUAUCAAAAACUUCGCUACAAGCAAUCAAGUUCAGCAUUUCUGGGGCGUUCUCUCUCAUAUAAGACAUGGCCCACUCGGUCAUGUCUUUCUGCUCGCCAGUCUCUGUCAUUCUUGUGAAUUUCAAAUCUGAGAGUGGCUGGGAAAGACCACUCAUGUUCUCAACAACGCCAAGAACCUCCACCCCAACUUUCUUGCAAAAACUAACUUCUUUCCUAACAUCUAUCAGGGAUACCUGUUGUGGGGUUGUGACUAUAACUGCGCCAUCUAUUCCAGUUUCUUGGAGUAAUUGAACGAUUGAAAUAUGUUCAUCUGACGUCCCAGGUGGAGCAUCAACCACGAGGAAAUCAAGCUCUCCCCAAUCAACAUCUCUGAGGAAUUGCUUAAUUAGAGCAUUCUUGCGAGGCCCUCUCCAUAUGACAGCUUCAUCAGGGUUGGGGAGCAUGAAACCAAUUGACAUAACCCCAAGGUUAGACUCAACGUAAAUAGGUAUCCAUCCAAUAUUACUCUGGUGAAUCUCUUGUCCUUCGAGACCAAGCAUCUUUGGGAUGCUGGGGCCACAGAUAUCAAUGUCAAGGAGACCCACUUGAAAAUCCAUAGCUGCCAAUGCAAAAGCAAGUUGCGCUGAGAAAGUACUCUUACC